This 428-nucleotide ribosomal RNA is filed under the name uncultured Bacillota bacterium. RNAcentral's name for it is "bacterial SSU rRNA". It matches the Rfam family "Bacterial small subunit ribosomal RNA", at positions 958 to 1385 of the family's 1533-position model. Lineage: Bacteria; Bacillati; Bacillota. The record is from RNAcentral.
AACGCGAAGAACCUUACCAGGUCUUGACAUCCUCUGACACUCCUAGAGAUAGGACGUUCCCCUUCGGGGGACAGAGUGACAGGUGGUGCAUGGUUGUCGUCAGCUCGUGUCGUGAGAUGUUGGGUUAAGUCCCGCAACGAGCGCAACCCUUGAUCUUAGUUGCCAGCAUUCAGUUGGGCACUCUAAGGUGACUGCCGGUGACAAACCGGAGGAAGGUGGGGAUGACGUCAAAUCAUCAUGCCCCUUAUGACCUGGGCUACACACGUGCUACAAUGGAUGGUACAAAGGGCUGCAAAACCGCGAGGUUGAGCGAAUCCCAUAAAACCAUUCUCAGUUCGGAUUGUAGGCUGCAACUCGCCUACAUGAAGCCGGAAUCGCUAGUAAUCGCGGAUCAGCAUGCCGCGGUGAAUACGUUCCCGGGCCUUGUA